UACGUAGGGGGCUAGCGUUGUCCGGAAUCAUUGGGCGUAAAGCGCGUGUAGGCGGGUCCGGUAAGUCCGCUGUGAAAGUCGGGGGCUCAACCCUCGGAUGCCGGUGGAUACUGUCGGGCUUGAGUACGGAAGAGGCGAGUGGAAUUCCUGGUGUAGCGGUGAAAUGCGCAGAUAUCAGGAGGAACACCAAUUGCGAAGGCAGCUCGCUGGGACGUUACUGACGCUGGAGACGCGAAAGCGUGGGGAGCAAACAGG
This 255-nucleotide ribosomal RNA is filed under the name uncultured bacterium. RNAcentral's name for it is "partial 16S ribosomal RNA". It matches the Rfam family "Bacterial small subunit ribosomal RNA", at positions 524 to 776 of the family's 1533-position model. The record is from RNAcentral.